CUGCAAGCAGUGAACUGGAGAAACAUCCAGCACUUACUGCUCUACUAUAAGGAAAGAAAUACUCUUAUCAACUGGACAUCCAUAUAGUAGCCACUGUGGAUGUUCCAUGUGCCCAAAGAGUAUGGUGUGCAGAUCAAAGUCAAGGGCAAAACUGUCUGCACGUAUAUCUGAGGGUUCUGUCCAUUUUACAAUUCAGGUGCAUUUUAGAGUCAUCCAAGCUAGUAGCUGCGUCAUAGCCCUAGCAAUGUUAUGUGUGUUCUACAAAUGAAAGAUUUACCAUUAUUUGAAAUUCUUCAUUUCAAAAAGUUUAAAUGGAUUUGAAAUCUAUUAUAACUAUCACAAGAAAUGCUAUCAUUAGAUUAUUAAUGAAAGAAAGAUCUGUAGGAUUCUUUCUAUGUAUAUAACUUCAAUAGUCCCUGCAGGGAGCCGAAGGCCCGUAGGAUGUGACCAACUCAGUAGUCCACUGGAGGAUAUGAUUAAACAGCAAACUGUUUAUCAUGAAUGCAGGAUGUGGGCAAACUCACACUGCCCUGCCACCAAAAGGUUUGCUGAGGGACAUCACUCCCUGGCACCCGGCUCCUUGAAGUUAUCUACUGAGAAAUCUAGCACCUAUUAUCCAAAGGAUGCAGUCUUGCCUGCUGUGAACCAAAUUGCUGACUGACAAUUACCCAACAAUCACACCCCCCACCCCGAUCUCUUUUGCCUAAUAAAUAUGGAGGGCUGUGUAAAUCUCAGGGCCCUUGUGCACUAGAGGCAAGGUGCCCCCCGACCCCUUCUUACAAAUAUACUCUUGUCUCUUGCCUUUGAUUCCUGUGUUCGCCCCCCUUUGUUCAGUCCACCAGGUCUGUACAGGUUACAAGUCCCAAAUUUUUGAAUGGUUGUAAAAUGUGUUUAAAUGAUUUGUCCAUGUCUGUAUAAGCAGAUUUUUAUUGAUGGUGACUAUUAAGAAUUUGAAAAUGUAAUUAAAAAGUCUUGAUAAGGAGCUGUGUGUAGCCCUUUCAAGCAUAAAAUCCAAUUUUUAAACAGAUAUAAGCUCAAGUUUCUCAUUAAAGGUUUUCAACAAUUCUUUUUUGCAAAUUUUACAUGUAUUUAGUAUCUAAAUUUCCUUCUAAACUUUGUGCUGUAUUACCUUGCAUAUGAAAACUGUUUCAAAUUUUCCCCAGGCUCCAUAUGAAAGCACUUGAAUCCCUCCAGUUUAUCUCAGUGCCUUAGACUGGAUCUUCUAGAAACAGAGAAUUCCAGGUAGAAGGUUUAUUGGAGAAUGCCCUCAGGAAAUAUACCUAAAGGAAGUGAAGAUGGAGGCAAGACUGGACAGAGGGAGAAGCUGACUCACAUUGCAGUUACAAGUGAGGCCUCAGCUUAUCCUACUUGGAGCCCUAGAGCUGAAUGAACUUCUAGAGUUGUUUUAAAUUGAGGUGAGGGACUGAGCCUGUGUAUUUAUUCCCCAUCAGCCAUUCAUUAUGCUUGCUGGCAGAGGGCAUAACCUUGAGUGAGGCACACUAUGAAAUGUCAGAAGCCUAUUUCCGCAACAGCUUGGAGAUGGAUGUGAAAUGAACUGCAGAUUCUGAGCGCAGUUUUACAAGCACAACUUGAGUCUGAGUUCUAGCUACUGCCCAGUUGUGUGACCUUGGCCAAAGAUCAAAGAGUUUGAAAAUGCACUAUACUGGCAAGGGUGUGG
RNAcentral lists this long non-coding RNA (1678 nucleotides) under Homo sapiens (human). Its description in RNAcentral is "HSALNT0124863". Lineage: Eukaryota; Metazoa; Chordata; Mammalia; Primates; Hominidae. The record is from RNAcentral.